Molecule: ribosomal RNA, 491 nt
Filed under: uncultured bacterium
Lineage: Bacteria
Description: bacterial SSU rRNA
Rfam family: Bacterial small subunit ribosomal RNA
Source: RNAcentral
GAUGAACGCUAGCGGCAGGCUUAACACAUGCAAGUCGAGGGGCAGCGUGAGGGUUAGCAAUAACCCUUGACGGCGACCGGCGCAAGGGUGCGUAACGCGUGAGCAACUUGCCCUUAUCAGGGGGAUAACCGGUGGAAACGCCGACUAAUACCCCAUGGCAUCACAUCAAGGCAUCUUUANGUGAUUAAAGAAAUUCGGAUAAGGAUAGGCUCGCGUGACAUUAGCUAGACGGCGGGGUAACGGCCACCGUGGCUACGAUGUCUAGGGGUUCUGAGAGGAAGGUCCCCCACACUGGAACUGAGACACGGUCCAGACUCCUACGGGAGGCAGCAGUGAGGAAUAUUGGUCAAUGGGCGAAGCCUGACCAGCCAAGUCGCGUGAAGGAUGAAGGUUCUAUGGAUUGUAAACUUCUUUUGUCUGAGGUAAAAAAGCGGACGUGGUCCGUUCUUGCAAGUAUCAGACGAAUAAGCAUCGGCUAACUCCGUGCCAGC